AAAUAAGAAACAAAAAAUUGUGUUUAGUUUCGACCUAAAAUUUUGGUCCUUUGACCCUUAUUUA
Molecule: transfer RNA, 64 nt
Filed under: Staphylinidae sp. BMNH 1274245
Lineage: Eukaryota; Metazoa; Arthropoda; Insecta; Coleoptera; Staphylinidae
Description: tRNA-Arg
Source: RNAcentral